CGAACGCUGGCGGCGUGCUUAACACUUGCAAGUCAAGGGGGCCCAGCAAUGGGCAACCGGCGAACGGGUGCGUAACACGUGAGCAACCUACCGAACUGUGGGGGAUAGCCGGCCUAACGGCCGAGUAAUACCGCAUACGCUCUCAGAGAGGCAUUUCUUUGAGAGGAAACCUACGGGACAGAUCGAGGGGCUCGCGGCCUAUCAGCUAGUUGGCGAGGUAACGGCUCACCAAGGCAACGACGGGUAGCUGUCUGAGAGGAUGGCCAGCCACACUGGGACUGAGACACGGCCCAGACUCCUACGGGAGGCAGCAGUGGGGAAUAUUGGACAAUGGGCGCAAGCCUGAUCCAGCCAUGCCGCGUGAGUGAUGAAGGCCUUCGGGUUGUAAACUCCUGUCAUUUGGGAACAAGUGCCGAUACAUAACUGCUAUCGGCUUGAUAGUACCAGAAGAGGAAGGGACGGCUAACUCUGUGCCAGCAGCCGCGGUAAUACAGAGGUCCCAAGCGUUGUUCGGAUUCAUUGGGCGUAAAGGGUGCGUAGGUGGCGCCGUAAGUGGGGUGUGAAAUCUCGGGGCUUAACUCCGAAACUGCAUUCCAUACUGCGGUGCUUGAGGACUGGAGAGGAGACUGGAAUUUACGGUGUAGCAGUGAAAUGCGUAGAGAUCGUAAGGAAGACCAGUGGCGAAGGCGGGUCUCUGGACAGUUCCUGACACUGAGGCACGAAGGCCAGGGGA
RNAcentral lists this ribosomal RNA (733 nucleotides) under uncultured soil bacterium. RNAcentral's name for it is "bacterial SSU rRNA". It matches the Rfam family "Bacterial small subunit ribosomal RNA", at positions 30 to 767 of the family's 1533-position model. The record is from RNAcentral.